RNAcentral lists this ribosomal RNA (207 nucleotides) under uncultured bacterium. RNAcentral describes it as "partial 16S ribosomal RNA". It matches the Rfam family "Bacterial small subunit ribosomal RNA", at positions 568 to 774 of the family's 1533-position model. The record is from RNAcentral.
CGCGUAGGCGGCCCUGGCAGUCGGUGGUGAAAGCCCAGGGCUCAACUCUGGGUCGGCCACCGAUACUCUAGGGCUCGAGUUUGGUAGAGGCAGAUGGAAUUCCGGGUGUAGCGGUGGAAUGCGUAGAGAUCCGGAAGAACACCGGUGGCGAAGGCGGUCUGCUGGGCCAAGACUGACGCUGAGGCGCGACAGCGUGGGGAGCAAACA